AUACGUAGGGGGCGAGCGUUGUCCGGAAUGAUUGGGCGUAAAGGGCGCGUAGGCGGCCCGGUAAGUCUGGAGUGAAAGUCCUGUUUUUAAGAUGGGAAUUGCUUUGGAUACUGUCGGGCUUGAGUGCAGGAGAGGUAAGUGGAAUUCCCAGUGUAGCGGUGAAAUGCGUAGAGAUUGGGAGGAACACCAGUGGCGAAGGCGACUUACUGGACUGUAACUGACGCUGAGGCGCGAAAGUGUGGGGAGCAAACAGGAUUAGAUACCCUGGUAGUCCACACGGUAAACGAUGAAUGCUAGGUGUAAGAGGUAUCGACCCCUUUUGUGCCGGAGUCAACACAAUAAGCAUUCCGCCUGGGGAGUACGGCCGCAAGGUUGAAACUUAAAGGAAUUGACGGGG
Molecule: ribosomal RNA, 397 nt
Filed under: uncultured bacterium
Lineage: Bacteria
Description: partial 16S ribosomal RNA
Rfam family: Bacterial small subunit ribosomal RNA
Source: RNAcentral